Molecule: ribosomal RNA, 701 nt
Filed under: uncultured organism
Description: bacterial SSU rRNA
Rfam family: Bacterial small subunit ribosomal RNA
Source: RNAcentral
AAAGCUAGGGGAGCGUACGGGAUUAGAUACCCCGGUAGUCCUAGCUGUAAACGAUGGAUGCUGGUUCUGGGGGGUGUAAAUUCCCUCUGUGCCGAAGCAAACGCGUUAAGCAUCCCGCCUGGGGACUACGGCCGCAAGGCUAAAACUCAAACGAAUUGACGGGGGCCCGCACAAGCAGCGGAGCGUGUGGUUUAAUUCGAUGCUACACGAAGAACCUUACCUGGGUUUGACAUGCACGUGGUAGGGAACCGAAAGGGGACCGACCUUCGGGAGCGUGCACAGGUGCUGCAUGGCUGUCGUCAGCUCGUGCCGUGAGGUGUCGGGUUAAGUCCCGUAACGAGCGCAACCCUUGCCCUUAGUUACAAGUGUCUAAGGGGACUGCCCGGGACAACUGGGAGGAAGGUGGGGAUGACGUCAAGUCAGCAUGGCCUUUAUAUCCAGGGCUACACACACGCUACAAUGGCCGGUACAAUAGGUUGCGAAGUCGUGAGGCGGAGCCAAUCCUCAAAGCCGGUCUCAGUUCGAAUUGCAGUCUGCAACUCGACUGCAUGAAGCUGGAGUUGCUAGUAAUCGCAGGUCAGCUAUACUGCGGUGAUACGUUCCCGGGCCUUGUACACACCGCCCGUCACGUCAUGGAAGCUGGCAACGCCUGAAGCCGGUGAGCUAACCCGAAAGGGAGCAGCCGUCGAGGGUGGGGCUGG